Molecule: ribosomal RNA, 460 nt
Filed under: uncultured bacterium
Lineage: Bacteria
Description: partial 16S ribosomal RNA
Rfam family: Bacterial small subunit ribosomal RNA
Source: RNAcentral
CCUACGGGUGGCAGCAGUGAGGAAUAUUGGUCAAUGGACGAGAGUCUGAACCAGCCAAGUAGCGUGAAGGAUGACUGCCCUAUGGGUUGUAAACUUCUUUUAUAUGGGAAUAAAACGUGGCACGUGUGCCUUUUUGCAUGUACCUUAUGAAUAAGGAUCGGCUAACUCCGUGCCAGCAGCCGCGGUAAUACGGAGGAUCCGAGCGUUAUCCGGAUUUAUUGGGUUUAAAGGGAGCGUAGGUGGGUUGUUAAGUCAGUUGUGAAAGUUUGCGGCUCAACCGUAAAAUUGCAUUUGAUACUGGCAGUCGUGAGUACAGUAGAGGUAGGCGGAAUUCGUGGUGUAGCGGUGAAAUGCUUAGAUAUCACGAAGAACCCCGAUUGCGAAGGCAGCUUACUAGACUGUGACUGACACUGAGGCUCGAAAGUGUGGGUAUCAAACAGGAUUAGAUACCCGUGUAGUC